Long non-coding RNA from Oryza sativa Japonica Group (Japanese rice), 1114 nucleotides. RefSeq lists it as uncharacterized. The record is from RefSeq and is a predicted model, not a curated record. Lineage: Eukaryota; Viridiplantae; Streptophyta; Magnoliopsida; Poales; Poaceae.
UUUACGUGGCAUUAGAAUAAAAAUAAAUUUAAAAAAUACGUGGGACCAUAUGUCAUUUGCACACAAAAAUGGUAUUGUGGAACCCACAUGUCAUCCUCCCUCUCCUUCCCUUCUUCCUCCCCUCUCUCUCCCUUACCUCUCUCUUUCCCCCCGACCUCUCUCUUCACCAGAGCGGCGGCGGCGGUCGGGAGCGGCGGCAGUGGCGAUGGGGAGGUUGGGUUCUUGAUUGGUGUCAGAUUCUUGGUUGGUUGAUGGGGUUUGUGAGGUGUGGCGCUGAGUUGGAAAGAUCCGAUAUAUACACCGGCGCGAACGGGUCGGGUCUCGCCGCCGCCGCCGCGAGGGGGGAGAUGGAUCGGGACGACGAGUGGCUGCGCCGCGCGCUGGCGGCAUUUGGAGGAGGAGGCGGCGGCGUGUGGGAGCUCGUGGAUGCCGCGCUGGCCUGUGCUGUGCACGACCGCCCCGACGAGCUUAUACGACGGUAUCGUGGAGCGGCUCUACGCCGCCGCUGGCGGCGGCUGCAGCAACUGAGUCGGAGGACGAGCUGCUGAGCUUGCUCUGCUGUUCUGUUCCCCUUGCAACAAAAGGGGAGGAGAUGAAGUUGAAGUUCCUGCUUUGUGCUUUUCCAGGAGACGGACAUCGGACGGCAUGUGAACGGCCUGCGCAAACAUCCCUCCGGUGAAGUCCAGCUACUCGCCAUCUCAUCCUCGUCUUCCUCCUCGGCCUCGCCAUGGACCGGCUCCUCGGCGGCUGCGACGGCGGCAUCGUGGCGCGAGUUCGGAUCUGGCUCCGCGACGGGGAGCACCACGGUGGUCACCGUUGCCGGCUCGACGGGCAUCUCGGCCACCGGCUGCUUCUCGUUGCCAUGGAAUCCCUCCCCACGGAGGUAGAUGCCGCCGAACCUGUACGCGUCCCGCCGGUGGAGGCCGCCGCCGGGGCGCCGCGCCAAACCGCCACCGCCGCUCCUCCGGUGAAGAGAAAAGCCGAGGGGAGAGAGAGAGAUAAGGGAGACUGUGAGAGAGGGGGAGGAAGAAGGGAAGCAGAGGGAGGAUGGCACGUGGGUCCUACAAUUUAUAUUUUUUUUAAUGAUAUACGGGUCCUAUGUAUUUUUUUUAAA